UCACCAUUUCCAGAUCAAACACCUGACUGGGGCCAGUGUAAACAGGUUCAGUGCGUCUGUCGUGAGACGUCAGGAAAGAACCCGAUUUCAGGCUGCAGUGGAUAAGGGGUUACCAAAAAGGAAUGUUUGGGUGCCACAAUUUUGCAUCUCAAGACAGUCACCCAGAAACUAGGAUUAAAGAGGUGCAACAGAGAAAGGUCAGACGUUCGCUUUUUGAUGAGAACUUUUCAUACUUGUUGAAACUGGAUAAAGUUAAAA
Long non-coding RNA from Triplophysa dalaica, 258 nucleotides. RefSeq lists it as uncharacterized. Lineage: Eukaryota; Metazoa; Chordata; Actinopteri; Cypriniformes; Nemacheilidae. The record is from RefSeq and is a predicted model, not a curated record. The transcript has 3 exons.